AGUCCUGAACUAACAAAAGUGCGCUUUGUCGCUUAGCUGGCUGAGGGAGCAGAGUUUGCCUCUCUCAUCUGCGGAAAAUCAAAUCGCGGGAGGGAAAAGCGGCCGGGAGGAACAGGGGCGAGGAUCGCCCCCCACACACGCCUCGGAAUAUAAUGCACUCCUGGCACUUUUCCUCGCUGAUCGCGCGAACGGAAACGCUGCCCCGAGCGCAACGAACGGUGGCGAUUCUGGGGAGGCUCGUCUAUAGUUCCACCUACCCGCCACAGCUUUGCUAUGGACAUGACUCUAGAUGCUUUCUGGAUGACCCGGUUCAUUAUACCUGGCAAUAUUGGUAAUUCCUGGCACUGUGGCCAACUCUGUCUUCUCCAAUCACUGUGCCUUAUUUUCUUGAGCCAUUAUGCUUUGAACAGUGGGCCUGUCUGGUUCUUUAGUUGCACUUACAGGUAUGGAGAAGAUGCAUGGGCUGAAGUAGGAAGGAGCAUCCCCAAUGCUCCUUACGCUUUGCCUAUGACCUAUCAGUUGAGCAACUUGGAAGGUGGUUAAAAGCUCCAAGCCAGGUAUUGAUCUGCAAUCAAGGUCAACAGUCUUAUUUAUUACCCAUUCAUUCAGGAGAGUGAUUGGUGGCUGCUUGGAAGACGUUUGGAGGUAACCCACCAAUUAGUUUCCUUAACUUGUUCCACAAUGAUAUUGUAAAGAUUGUAUCGCUGCCACAUAUUCCAAUAGCAGAAUAGGGCAGAAAGUCCAGGCAGCAAAAAUUAUCUGACAUGUCAUUUUGCCAGCUCAAGGAGUGGGGUAUAGCACACUACAGUGAUCAUGAGGAAGAGCCCUACUAUAUUUAUUUCAUUCUCUGCUGUUGUUCUUUUAGCCCACUCAUGAGUUGUAGUGGAUUAGAAUAUUGGUAAUUCCAAAUAUUUUAACACUCUACUACAGAGGUGGAAACGAUGGCCCCUUUAUGACUAGUGGACUUCAACUCCCAGAAUUCCUGAACCAGCCUGGCUGGCUCAGGAAUUCUGAGGCUUAAAAGUCCAUAAGUCAUAAAAGGGCCAUCGUUCCCCAUUCCUGCUCUUCUAUAUAAAAUUGCAAUCUUCUUCUAAUACAAUGGUGUGGAAAUACAGAUUUCAGGCUUGGAGAGUCUGCUAUCAUCUUAUCUUUGUGUAAGAACAUUUUUUUUCCUGUCCAGGCUUGGUAUUGGGCCUUCCACCCAAGGAUUAGAAUCUCUUGGCAGUGAAAGUACUGUAUAGCCAAAAGUAUCAGAAACAUUUUAUUUCCAGUGCUGCAUUGUGUAGCUUUACUUUUGCUUACAUGUUGUGUUCUUUGCUUCUUGUUUGUUUCUCUGCUUUGCACAAUGAAUAAAUUAUGGCCUUUGUAUAAUGACAUCUGAAAGCUACCCUCAGUCAUCCUAGAGCUAAAGUAGAGGGGUUGGAAGGGUGGAGACCCCAGGAAGAUACCUGGCAGGUUAGGUUAUUUUUUUAUGAAAGAAAUCUUAUUAGAAACAGCUCUUAUUGAAUAGAAGUAUAUAGAAGAAUAAGGUUGAAGUAUAUAGAAGAAUAACAUUGCACCAGUCUAUAAGACAGAGUAAGAAAGUGAAUGAAUAAACUAAAGUUAUGUUCAAAAUUUUGUCUAAUAUAAAUCAAAUUUGCUCUAAAACCACCAAAAUAAUUGCUAGAGGCUUAGAUAUGGCAAUAAUAAUGGUCCAAAAAAAAUCAUGUAUGUUUCUUUUCUGGAAAGGAGCAGCCAUAUUUUCUUGGCAGAAAAAUAUGACAUGAGAAAAUUUCAUCAGUUGAAUUUCUGCCCACCACGGAGUUGUUACAAAGCACAUAAGCCUCAGCAUGAGGAAAAAUUGGUAGCGUUAAGGUAAUUUGGGGCUAAUCUUGGAUUGACAAAGAUUCAGUUCAGCUAGAGGCCAUUAAGUCUGGACAAGAAUGAUGUUUUUCAGAUCAAAGAAAUGGAUGGAAAAAACCAUGCUUCUAGGCCUUUAACAACACUAACUCAGCUAAUGUGCAUAGGCAAUAACUCUUAACUUGUCACGGUAAUCUUCCCUGGCUGAUAUUUCCAGAUAAAGAUGCUAUUAACUGCAAAGGAGCAAGCCAGCCAUUCUCCUUCCUCGUCUGUUGACCUUCAUCUGAAUUGGAUGAUACUUUGGCAUUAUCUCGGACCAUAUUUCCGGCCAGGCAGGCUAGUUUACAUCGACUGUUUCUAAAGAAGGAGUUUCCUGUGCUUCUGGCUUCUGCUUUAGCGCAUGCUAGGAAACACUUAAAAACAGAUACAAGGCUGUAUGGCUUUUCUGCACAUAUUGCUAGUUGUCCCUUACUGCUUAAAAAUACAACAGAAAAGCAGAUAUUUGGCUAAGCUCAGUAACCUUAUGGCAUUCAGGACUUUGGGGGAAUAGGAAAAUAUUUCUGCAUGAAAGCACCUAGGAAACCUGUGCCAUAAAGCAUACCUUGUUCUACUUAUGUGGAAGCUUGUGUAACAAAAAUAUUUAUCAGGCACGUGCUUUCAGCAACAGCUGUGCCUCUUAUUUGCACAUACUUUGUGGCAAAGAAUGAUCUUUUGCUAAGUUGAAGAGAUUCUUAGGAAAUGUAUUGUAAGAAAAGAUUAUGUUACAAGAGUAUGUUGAGAGUGUAGUUGAUGUGAGAGGAUAAUGCAGGAGGCAUAAUUACAUAUGCCACCUUGGGCUGUGCAAAAUAAAGGCAGGAUAUAACUGUAGUGACUAAAUGAACAAAUGACUGAAUGAAUAUACUGGAGAGAAAAUCUCCAAUAGCCAAUACAUGGGCACCAGCUCUCAUUUUCUGAAAACAGACAGAACCCAGCUGAGGCUGGUCCUUACAAACAAUAUUAAUCUUAACAUAUUUCAAUAUUAAAACUGAUUCUUUAGAGCAAGCAACUACAAUUCAAGUCUUACUGAAGAAAGUAUAGGGCCCACCACUGACAAAAAAUGGGCAGGUAGCUGCUAUGGAAGAUUGCCCGAUUUGUUUCAGAUAUUUCAAAUGUGUGUUUGGCAGAAGGAGAGACAGCAGGAGAGCAGAGAUGCAACCUGAUUCAAUGCCAGCUUACUUGUGAGAAAACAAGAUUAAAUUUAGGGGCUUCUGCAGUUGAUGUUCAUUUGUACACAUUAGAGGUUUCCAAUUAAAAGUGGCCUUCAAAGGGAUGGCUGAUUUUAAGUCGGUUAAUAUAUCCUGGUAAAUUGCAUUCAAGAAGUUAAUUCCUGGGUUUCAAAAUAGAACGUUCUACAAUAAUUGCUUAAGAUAAUCAAUAAAAUAUAUUCAUUCUAUAGGUAGUCUUCAAUUUACAAGCACAAUUGAGUCCAAAAUUUCUGUUGCAAAGUGAGACAUUUGUUAAGUGAAUUUUGCCCCAUUUUACUUUCUUGCCACAGUUAUGUGAAUCACUGCAGUUGUUAAGUUAGUAACAUGGUUGUUAAGUGAAUCUGGCUUCCCCAUUGACUUUGCUUAUCAGAUGAUCACAUGACCAUGGGAUACUUUUUUGUUUGUUUGUUUACAUUUAUAUCCCGCCCUUCUCCGAAGACUCAGGGCGGCUUACAGUGUGUAAGGCAAUAGUCUCAUUCUAUUUGUAUAUUUUUACAAAGUCAACUUAUUGCCCCCCCAACAAUCUGGGUCCUCAUUUUACCUACCUUAUAAAGGAUGGAAGGCUGAGUCAACCUUGGGCCGGGCUCGAACCUGCAGUAAUUGCAGGCUACUGUGUUCUAAUAACAGGCUCUAACAGCCUGAGCUAUUACGGCCCUGCAACCAUCAUAAACGUGAAUCAGUUGCCAAGUGUCUGAAUUUUGAUCCUAUGACCAUAUGACUGCAACAGUCGUAGGUGUGAAAAACAAUCAUGUCACUUUUUUCAGUGCUGUUGUAACUUUGAACAUUAAGCAAGCUGUUGUACCUUGAGGACUACCUGUAUUCUUAUAUCAUUAUGUUAAUCAAGUUUCUGGGUGUGCAGCUAACAAGUAGGCUAGCUUGGUUGCUCAACACUGCUCAACAGCAGUGCCUGCAUUUUCUGUGUCACAUGUGAAAAGUACAUCUUCCUUCCCCUGUCCUUACCACUUUCUAUAGAGGGAGGAUCGAGAGCAUCCUGUCAUAUUGCAUUACUGUCUGGUUUGACAGGAAGGCGGGGCAGAAAGUGGUGAGGAUGGCAGAAAGGUUUAUUGGUAGUUCACUCUCUUCCAUCCAGGACAUAGCAUAUAAGCAAUACUUGAGCAGGGUCUGCAGGAUUGUCUGGGACACUACACAUCCUCUUCAAAACCUGUUUUCCUUGUUACCUUCUGGGAGGAGGCUUCGUAGUAUCCAAAGUAGGACAUCCAGAUUCAGCCACAAUUUUGUUCCAUAUAGCAUCAACCUUGUGAACUCUCAAGUUUCCUCUUUCUGCUAUGUAUUCAAAAUAGAUAGUGAUUAAUAUUUAUAUUAUAUAUGUAUAGGCAGUGGUGGGUUGCUACCAGUUCACCCUGACUCGGGCAAACAAGUAGCAGCAAUGGUGGUAGGCUCCGCCCACCCACCCGGAUGUUUCUGCACAUGCGCAGAAGCGCCCACGCACCCACGAGCAAACCGGUAACAACAGGAUUUGAAACCCACUAUUGUGUGUAGCGGUGUAGUUUUCCUAGUUGCAAUGUAUGAAAGUUGGACCAUAAAGAAGGCUGAGUACCAAAGAAUUGAGGCCUUUGAACUAUGGCGCUGGAGAAGACUCCUGCGAGUCCCUUGGACUACAAGGCGAUCAAACAGGUCAGUCCUAGAGGAGAUCAACCCUGACAGUUCUUUAGAAGGCCAGAUCCUGAAGAUGAAAUUGAAAUACUUUGGCCACCUAAUGAGAAGGAAGGACUCACCAAAGAAGAGGCUAAUGCUGGGACAGAUCGAGGGCAAAAGAAGAAAGUGAUGACAGAGAAUGAGGUGGCUGGAUGGAGUCACUGAAGCAGUUGGUGUGAGCUUAAAUGGACUCCAGAGGUUGGUAGAGGACAGGAAGGCCUGGAGGAACGUUGUCCAUGGGGUCGCGAAUGGGAUCGGACAGGACUUUGCGACUAACAACAACAUGGAUGUAGAUUUUGUGUGUGUGUGUCUAUAGCAUGUGUGUGUAUGUGUGUGUAGAUAUAUACUUUAUUUUGAGACCAGGCAACAGAAUUUCAUUUUUAAUGUGGAUCAAUGUGCUCACAGUAAAAAAUGACAAUAAAGUUUAUCUUAUCUAAUCUUUUUAAUUAUGUGAAUACUGUGAAAUACUGCACUGAACUUCUCAUUCACUCCCCUGUACAUACUCUCAAUUUAAAGCAAAAGGUCCUGGAAGUGAAUCGCAGAGGGAGGAUUGAGAGCUCAUUGGAAGAGAUGGAAUCCAUUUUGCCCACAAGCAUCCUUGGUUAUAGCCUGGUGUUUCUGUAAUGGUUUAUAUCAAGAUAAGGAGAUUAUAU
Molecule: long non-coding RNA, 5392 nt
Organism: Ahaetulla prasina
Lineage: Eukaryota; Metazoa; Chordata; Lepidosauria; Squamata; Colubridae
Exons: 3
Source: RefSeq, a predicted model, not a curated record